CAAGCGUGCGGGAGAUAUAAACUCAAUGUUUUAAAUGGAAAAAUUACCCUUUUUAUUCCUCUUCAUUUAUUUCCAUUUUUUCUCUCUCGUUGUCGUCUGUGUUAGAAGAGAGAUUCGGAUGUGAGAAUUGUAAGUGUUUAUAAGAGGCGGUCGCAUUGACAUAGCUUGGAUUAACAUGAGAAAUUUGGAUAUGACAAUGAACUUCAGAGGUAUAUGACAAGGUGGGAGAAAUUCAGUUGUUGAUGGGGAAAAACGAUUCGCUGGAUUUUUAGGGAAUGGAGAGACGACCGUGCGACGGAGGCUCCUUCAACCGAGCGAAUUGCUUAAACUCAAACAAAUGCACUGCACGGGAAUGCUUUGAGUUCGAGAGAUCAAUCAGUAGGACUCCGACCUAAACCAAGUAAGUCAAUGGCCGUCCCGGAGUCAAUUCGGUCACAAAGAGGGAAGAGGGUUGAUCUAUAGGAGGGAAGCUAAGAAGUGUGUGAGAUCAAUGAUGAUCAAGGAUUGUGUAUGUGUUGUGGGUUUCUGCAAGUUUUCUGUGAACUGUUGAGUUCAAAUAAGUUCUGUUUGAUUGAUGAAUUCUUGAGAGUGAUUACUCGAAAAAUUGUCCUGUUUCAAUCAUGGAUUCAGAGACUUAUUUAUAUUGCCAGAAUAGU
This is a long non-coding RNA of Papaver somniferum (opium poppy), 656 nucleotides long. RefSeq lists it as uncharacterized. The transcript has 4 exons. Lineage: Eukaryota; Viridiplantae; Streptophyta; Magnoliopsida; Ranunculales; Papaveraceae. The record is from RefSeq and is a predicted model, not a curated record.